RNAcentral lists this ribosomal RNA (429 nucleotides) under Pseudomonadota bacterium. Its description in RNAcentral is "Proteobacteria bacterium partial 16S ribosomal RNA". It matches the Rfam family "Bacterial small subunit ribosomal RNA", at positions 355 to 776 of the family's 1533-position model. The record is from RNAcentral. Lineage: Bacteria; Pseudomonadati; Pseudomonadota.
UGGGGAAUAUUGGACAAUGGGCGAAAGCCUGAUCCAGCCAUGCCGCGUGUGUGAAGAAGGUCUUCGGAUUGUAAAGCACUUUAAGUUGGGAGGAAGGGCAGUAAGCGAAUACCUUGCUGUUUUGACGUUACCGACAGAAUAAGCACCGGCUAACUCUGUGCUAGCAGCCGCGGUAAUACAGAGGGUGCAAGCGUUAAUCGGAAUUACUGGGCGUAAAGCGCGCGUAGGUGGUUCGUUAAGUUGAAUGUGAAAGCCACGGGCUCAACCUGGGAACUGCAUCCAAAACAGGCGAGCUAGAGUAGGGCAGAGGGUGGUGGAAUUUCCUAUGUAGCGGAGAAAUGCGUAGAUAUAGGAAGGAACACCAGUGGCGAAGGCGACCACCUGGGCUCAUACUGACACUGAGGUGCGAAAGCGUGGGGAGCAAACAGG